RNAcentral lists this ribosomal RNA (495 nucleotides) under uncultured bacterium. RNAcentral's name for it is "partial 16S ribosomal RNA". It matches the Rfam family "Bacterial small subunit ribosomal RNA", at positions 31 to 507 of the family's 1533-position model. The record is from RNAcentral.
GAAGAAAGCGGGGGGCGUGCCUAAUACAUGCAAGUAGAACGCUGAAGGAGGAGCUUGCUCUUCUGGAUGAGUUGCGAACGGGUGAGUAACGCGUAGGUAACCUGCCUGGUAGCGGGGGAUAACUAUUGGAAACGAUAGCUAAUACCGCAUAAGAGUAGAUGUUGCAUGACAUUUACUUAAAAGGUGCAAUUGCAUCACUACCAGAUGGACCUGCGUUGUAUUAGCUAGUUGGUGGGGUAACGGCUUACCAAGGCGACGAUACAUAGCCGACCUGAGAGGGUGAUCGGCCACACUGGGACUGAGACACGGCCCAGACUCCUACGGGAGGCAGCAGUAGGGAAUCUUCGGCAAUGGACGGAAGUCUGACCGAGCAACGCCGCGUGAGUGAAGAAGGUUUUCGGAUCGUAAAGCUCUGUUGUAAGAGAAGAACGAGUGUGAGAGUGGAAAGUUCACACUGUGACGGUAUCUUACCAGAAAGGGACGGCUAACUACGUG